Molecule: long non-coding RNA, 1186 nt
Organism: Solea senegalensis (Senegalese sole)
Lineage: Eukaryota; Metazoa; Chordata; Actinopteri; Pleuronectiformes; Soleidae
Exons: 2
Source: RefSeq, a predicted model, not a curated record
UCUCUCCGCAGCCUUGGCAUGAGCCUCCAUGGGAAAGCAAACAAUCGUUUGUUAGCUUGACAUGAAGAAUGAAGAGAGCGAGAGGAUAAGCUAAGAGAAGGUGAGGGUCGAGUGCACAGGAGAGGAAAACACCAGACAAAGAGCGGCGAGGCUGAAGGUCGCAGAGGUGGAAGGAUUAGUUUAGUCUGCACAUAAAAGACUCCAUUUAAGUUUGGGACGGAAAAACGACGUCGAUACUGUGGAUCUGCACCAAACGAUCGGCAAAAAGUGUUUUGUUUGAGAGGAGCAAGAGCGACUGUGCACGAUUCCCAGUGGGCAAACUUCACACACCUUGGUUGACAUCAAAUUCAAGGACCUUCCAGGACAAAUUCCCUAAAAUUUAAGGACUAGCAUGUGGUGAGACAGCUUAAGAUAGAAGGGCAACUUGUGUUCGUCCACGAUGGCGUCCACUUUCACACGUGAUUGUCCUUGAAGUCUUUGUCAAAGUCAGUCUUUGUCAUUUUGUCUUUGGUGAGACAGAGAUGUUGGAAUCUUCAUUUGCUCCCUCUUGUCUUAACUUUACUCGCUCAUUGUUCUGCACGGAAUCUCACGAGACAGUGGACAGUGUCCCACAACACCGUUUGUCCUGCAUAGGCCGGGUCUACGUGCAUCAAGCAACGCAGGGCGUGAAACAGUAGGUGGCGUCGUAACAAACAAGUGGUGUCCAUGUCAGAUUAUCAAUCACAGCGGCGCGGAUUCUUCAUCCCGGCGCUGGCGUUCUCUGGAGUGCAACGAGGGAAAGUUUACCAGAGAGCUGUAAAUGUCAGAAAAAAACCACAGACGCUGGAAUUCUGGAAGAUGAUACAGAGUUCCCAAAACGCAAACUCCUCUGUGCCUGCAUGAAUGAGACGUUUAAAUAAUGCUGCACGAGGCCGUGGGGAUUGUCCAGUGGUUUUAUGGUGUUUUUAAAGUUUUUUUAACGAGGUUUGUGCGAUGUUUGUUACGUGUCAUAUGUUUUACCGAGUAACCAAACGAGUCCAAGGCAAAUAUGGGACAAUAAAGUGUAUAUUGAUUGAUUGAUGGGUAGUUACUGAUUGAAGUUUAGUCAAUUUCCUCGAUCUCUAUUGGUUUAAAGCUUGAAAGUGAGGUGUAAAGUCACAUGACGUCCUGAGCUCCAGGGGAAUGUUUAAUAAACAUUAUACGUGUC